UAGCCACCAUAGCCACCAUGGGCGAUUCCGGCGCGAGCCGUCGCGACCGCUAAGCAGGCGAACACAAUCUAAAAGAGACGCGAGACGUUAUUCAAUGUGACUAACGGGACGAACCGAGAUGGAACGUAAGUCCCGGCGUUAUCUCUAUUCAGAUUGAAUGCUGUGUACGUGAAAAGUCUGUCGACGUGGUGAGUCAAGAUAAACGUAACGGUAGAGGGUGCGAGAGGGUGCAAGAUGCGUGCAAUAUUUCGAUCGCGAGAUUGAUGAAUGAAGAUGCGCCUGUGCGGAGUAGAACCGGUCGCGGAGUUAGUCCGCUUGCUCAAUGACGGUGAUGAUACUACCUACAACCGGUUUUCGCUCGGCGCGCGAUGCGGUACCAUAAUCGGUUGGCGAUCGAUGCGGCGACGAUAUAAUCAACGAUUGGAUAAUUGAAUCCCUUGCGUGUUUUUCGUCCAGGACACAUCCUGACUUGAUCGUUUGGACAUCUGGACUGAGCUUCAUUUACAACCGGCGCAUGUUACAUGCGAAGGAAGCAUGAUCGGGCCGACUCUGCAACCCUCCAACCUAUUUCCGGACGAUACGGAUUCUGGCAUUCUCGUCUCUAAUCAUGCUAAAUGCUAACGGGAAAUCGGGACGCGUUUAAGCGCUUAAUGCGUAGUAUUGCGGCUAUUGUGUCCGGUAAUAGGGGUAGAAAUUCAUCGAAUACGAAAUACCGAAUCGAAUAAUAUAGUAAAACUCUUCAUUUACCGAUUCUAUUUUGCGCUAUGAUGCAAAUAAAUUGCAAGCGGCACGUUUGUUCACCGAAGCGAUAUAUCUUGCAUGCGUAUCUCGCGUUCAUAUCUUAAUCUCCUCGACCGAGGAGGGAAAAGGGAUGUAUCUUAUGGAUACGCGAUGACUUAUCAGUGGCGUGACAUUUAUAGAUGUGAAAUUACGUUAUGUGUAUCCGAGGUUAUACGCACGUAAUAGAGGUGCCAAGUCUAAGCGGGACUUUCUCGCGGAUAAAGCACACGUUAUUCCUGUUUCCAUUUGCGAGCGGCCGAAGCCGCUAGAAAAAGGGAAAAAAAAAGGAACGAAGCAGACAGUUCGAAACGUCAUCUCCUUCUGCUCAUUAAACGCCCGUGCGAAAUAAAUUCCCCGAGCAUUCAAGUACAGGCACGUGUAACGACCGCGGUAUGCCCGGAAUGCCGGUUGUCUUCGUUAAUUCUCCAUUUAUGACUAUAUACAGCGGCUAACGGCAUGCCCGGCAAUAUAGAUAUGGCGUUAAAUAAUGACCAUCGCCGUGCGCCCCUCGUUAAACGUAUCUUCCACUUUCUCAAAAAUUUCUUCAUUAAUGGAGGCUGCUAUAUAUAGCGUGCAUACACAACGCGUUCGUUUUAUAAAUUACACAAAUCACGCGAAUUUUACAACGUUAUUACGUUGUAAGGUCUCUCAUGUAAUGUUUUACAUUACAGAUUAUCUUGAGCGUUACAAUUAUUCCUUAUUACAAUCGAUUCCGAGGAUUUUCGUACCUAUAAGCCGUUGAAUACGCUCAGGCUUUAUUAGAUUUAUCAUAUUUUCCCUAUAAAAAAAGGAAGCUACAAAAAGAGGACGUUAAAACGUCGUGUCUCGGAAAUUUUUUAGUUCCGAAAUUUUGCACAAUUCAAGUGCAACCCGCGUGUCUGAUAUUUCCCGUCUUGCCCCGCGCCCCCUCCACGAUUUUUAUUUUUACAAAUCUAUUAACAAAUCGGUGUCGGCGGCGCGGCGUUCCGCACACGCGAGUGCACUCGGAUACGCUACAAUUCUCUCACAUACUCCGCUCGCAUAUUAAUGGCUCCGGCGCGGGGCGACUUGGUUCGCGAGCAGGCGAGCGUAAACGUUGAAUAAUAACUGCAUUCCGCGCGGCGGGCCGGCCAGCUUGGUCGUCGUCUACGUGCUGCCGCAUGCUGCGUAUAUAUGCACGCAUGACAGCAGCACUUAGCGUUGCGUAUAUAUAUUACUUGGGGGGGGGUAGUAGAGGAGGAUCGACUAUCGGUCGCGCGGGCCGCCACGACGAAACGGCUUCGCGUUUCGCUCCUCGUUACUUCCGGUCUGCACGCGGCGCGAAAACUGCCGAUUAGGGAUCAUGUUAGGAGAUUAUUAGACGAGAAAUGUCUCGGGACACUUCUCACUCUACACCACUUGAACUUGUCGCUGGCUCUGAUCAGUCGCAGAGAUCUGCAUAGUUAAAAAUUUUGUGUUAAAUUUAAUAUACGUCUCACGCAAUUUUUGUAUUAAUUUAGCAUAAUAUGAAUAUUAAGUAACACAAAUGUUAAAAGAUAUUUUUUAAUGUAUCGCGCACGGUAUACAUACAUUCUUUACUUUAUAGAAUUACAUUUCAAAAUUAGAUAAUUAUUUUUAUGUAAUUUUAUUUGUUUAUUCACCACUAUUUUUUAACACGAGAAAAAUGUUGAAUAUUAAUUUAACACAAAAAUUUAAACAAAGGUCUAUUUCAACAUAAAUACAAAAUGUUUUCUAUCGUGUAAAGUUGCAAAAGGAUAGCGAAGAAAUGUUCUUCGAAUUGGUUCUCAACGAUUCUUUUAUUUUUUGACAGACAUUUGACAAGCUGUAAGGCCAUCAUAGAAAAACCAUCGUAAUCUUUUCCUGGAAGUACAAAAUUCUAACAGUUUCGAUCAGUGCGGAUCCAUUCUAACGAUUGUUCUGUAUCAAUAACGUGUCGCAAUAUUUUUCUAAGAGAUAAAUGCGAUCGCGACCAAUUUUUGGAAUUGAUGUGUCACGUGAUGCGAGGAUGCACUCUAUCUAAAAGUUCGAUGUCAGUGAUCUUCUAACGGCUCUUCGGUUCAUAUAUGUCAUGAGAGCCACUUCUUACAGCCGCUACUUUCUCUUAACGAGAGAAGGACGCAUUGCAUCGCCGAUAUCAGCAGGGUUAACGGUGUCCGAGUCUCAUCCCUCGGACAUCUUCAGACAUUUUUAUCCGCUUCAUGUCGAAGAUAAGACUCGUGUGUGGUGCGCGAAGUGGAAGUCGUUUCCCGGGACGACACGGUGAAAUACAGUGGAAACCGAUAGAUUUUUCGAGAGCAGGCGGUCCAUUCGUGUCGAGGUGUACAUACACAGACACACAGACACACACACACACACACACACACCUACAUACAUUGCGCAUUAUCGAAAUCAUUUUGCAGCAUGAAUAAUCUAACAUAUUUAUUCCCAACAUUUUUGCUCUAAGGUAUAAAAUAUCCAAUCAACAAAAAUCAACAAAUACACUGAAUUACAAAACAAUUCCGUAACAAUCAGAGUCUGAAUUGCAGAUUUUCUCAUGGGGGAUGCUACGUCGAUGAAAAUUUAAAAUCGAAACGAAUGGGCUUUCGAUGCAAAUUAACAUGUACGAAAAAAUUGGUCGAUUUUCAAAAAGAAAAAAUUACACAGAGAAAGUAAACUUAGGGAUAGAGAGAGAACACCUUUACGGAAACUGACCAUGAAUGCGACAUUUCGCAACGUCGGAAGGAAAAUGGAUUUUUCUUGAUAACGCUAUAAAGUAAGGUAAUACGCGAAUGUUCACGUAUACCUACGCAUAUCGCUAUUUGUAGAUAGAGGCACACCACGUAUGUACCGAGAAUCUUGGGUCCCUGCUGUUGUCCACUCUCGCCUAUCCGUUUACGAUCGCACAAGAUUCCACGUUCAUAUCUGAUUUUCUCCGUAACGCGUUCCGCGUAAGGAAACGACCGCGGUCGGUAGUUGACUAAUUUCGCAGUUUUACGGGCCGGGACGGCCGUUACUGCGUCAUUAAAACCGCCUUUCCUGUAGCAUACAGCAUCCGGCGCUAAGCAAUGUACACAUUUCGGCUGACGGGUAACGUUACGUCAGUUAUCCGCAUCGCAAUUUCACUGACUCACGUUCGCGACUAGCAUUCGUCGACCUUUCCACACACUAAAUAAUAGCAAUAUAUGGUGACACACUUGUACUCUCUGUCGUAAUAAAAAAAAGCAGCAAACGGAACAAAGCCUUCUCGAGCUUAACGGAUUAAUCGUGUGAUUCCCGGUCCUCGUUCCCAAAUAGAGAAAGUUUCUUAAAGAGAUUUUCAUUCACCACGCGAACAGCUAAGGAAAAUAUGGAGCUGCGCCUGGAUAUUACUAAAAAUAGAAGACUUAAUUAAAACCGACACAAACGUGAUAAUGGAACAGUGCGCUGCUGCUCUCGUAGUUGUUAAUAUUAAGAUAAAUCCGCUUAGAAAAGAGACACAUGUAACGCUGAACGAGCUGGGACAGGAUAAAUAAUUGUUCCACCCGCGAGAAGUCAGGAGAAACAAAAGAGGCAGAAUCCAUUCAGCAGGUAGACAGUGCAGAAGCACGCGAAACCUGAAUUCCUCGCGUCAUGUAAUAGCUAUUCUAACUAGAGACCUAAUGUCCGGACGAUUACGAGCUAUAAAAUCUCAGGUAAAAAGCACCCGCUGCAUUGCCCUAAGCGCAAGCGGGAGAUACACGUUGAGGAACGUUCUGCUCGCUUCUAUUGACGUAACCGCACGACGCUUUAAAGUGCCACAAAACUUUCCCGGCAUGCAGAAACUUUUGACAUGGUGCGUUCGAGUCGCUCCCAAUUUGUUGAAACUACAAGAACAGUUUGUCGUACAAUAUUAUCGUUUUACGUAACGCGCAGAACUUCCAAACUAGAAAAUUAUGCGAAGAGAGUAUCGUUUUAUUUAUUGUAUCUCUAUUUUGUGAUUUGCGAUAUAAAAUUCUUCUAAAAACA
Molecule: long non-coding RNA, 4722 nt
Filed under: Monomorium pharaonis (pharaoh ant)
Lineage: Eukaryota; Metazoa; Arthropoda; Insecta; Hymenoptera; Formicidae
Description: uncharacterized LOC105831434
Source: RNAcentral